Molecule: ribosomal RNA, 427 nt
Filed under: uncultured bacterium
Lineage: Bacteria
Description: partial 16S ribosomal RNA
Rfam family: Bacterial small subunit ribosomal RNA
Source: RNAcentral
GUGGGGAAUAUUGGGCAAUGGGGGCAACCCUGACCCAGCGACGCCGCGUGGGUGAAGAAAUCCCUCGGGAUGUAAAGCCCUGUUGUAUGGGAAGAGCAGAAGACGGUACCAUACGAGGAAGCCCCGGCAAACUACGUGCCAGCAGCCGCGGUAAUACGUAGGGGGCAAGCGUUGUCCGGAAUUACUGGGCGUAAAGCGCACGCAGGCUGAAUUAUAAGUCGGUAGUCAAAUACGGAGGCUCAACUUCCGGAUAUCUAUCGAUACUGUAAAUCUAGGGUAUGUGAGAGGAAAGCGGAAUUCCAGGUGUAGCGGUGAAAUGCGUAGAGAUUGGGAGGAACACCAGUGGCGAAGGCGACUUACUGGGCCGUAACUGACGCUGAGGCGCGAAAGCGUGGGGAGCGAACAGGAUUAGAUACCCCAGUAGUCC